This 494-nucleotide ribosomal RNA is filed under the name uncultured bacterium. RNAcentral's name for it is "partial 16S ribosomal RNA". It matches the Rfam family "Bacterial small subunit ribosomal RNA", at positions 28 to 507 of the family's 1533-position model. The record is from RNAcentral.
GACGAACGCUGGCGGCGUGCCUAAUACAUGCAAGUCGAACGGUUUAGUUCCAAGAGGCAAGACUCUUGGAACUAAGCAGUGGCGGACGGGUGAGUAACACGUAGGCAACCUACCUGUCAAACCGGGAUAACCUCGGGAAACCGAAGCUAAACCCGGAUAAGCUCCUUUUUCGCAUGAAGGGGGAGUGACAAGGUGCGACCUGAUGACAGAUGGGCCUGCGGCGCAUUAGCUAGUAGGUAGGGUAACGGCCUACCUAGGCGAUGAUGCGUAGCCGACCUGAGAGGGCGUACGGCCACACUGGGACUGAGAUACGGCCCAGACUCCUACGGGAGGCAGCAGUAGGGAAUCUGCGGCAAUGGGCGAAAGCCUGACCGAGCAACGCCGCGUGAGUGAGGAAGGCCUUCGGGUUGUAAAACUCUGUUGUUUGGGAAGAAGGGAAAGGGUAGGACCCUUAGGUGACGGUACCAAACGAGAAAGCCCCGGCUAACUACGUG